GUGCACCAGUCGCGAAUACUUUACAAUGUGCGAAAGCACGAUAAGGGAACUCUGAGUGCCUCCUAAGGAGGCUGUUCAGGUGUCUAAAAGCACCUGAAGGAAGGGCUGGGUAAGACCGGUGCCAGCCGCCGCGGUAACACCGGCAGCCCAAGUGGUAGCCACGUUUAUUGGGUCUAAAGCGUCCGUAGCCGGCUGGGUAAGUUCCUUGGGAAAUUUGGCUGCUUAACAGUCAAGCUUUCAGGGAAUACUGCCCGGCUUGGGACCGGGAGAGGUCAGAGGUACUCCAGGGGUAGGGUGAAAUCCAUUAAUCCUUGGGGGACCACCGGUAGCGAAGGCGUCUGACCAGACCGGGUCCGACGGCGAGGGACGAAGGCUAGGGGCGCGAACCGGAUUAGAUACCCCC
RNAcentral lists this ribosomal RNA (403 nucleotides) under uncultured microorganism. RNAcentral's name for it is "bacterial SSU rRNA". It matches the Rfam family "Archaeal small subunit ribosomal RNA", at positions 330 to 740 of the family's 1478-position model. The record is from RNAcentral.